RNAcentral lists this long non-coding RNA (586 nucleotides) under Hordeum vulgare. RNAcentral's name for it is "long non-coding RNA (HVUL_LNC012009)". The record is from RNAcentral. Lineage: Eukaryota; Viridiplantae; Streptophyta; Magnoliopsida; Poales; Poaceae.
UCCAUGACCGUGGACACGGCUAAUCGAUUAGGUUGGGUACUCUGCAGAGUUUUGCACACGUUCCCCACAAGAUUUGAUCGCCUCCGGGUUUGUCCUCGCACUUCAAGGUGUUUGAAGACCGGAUGAUCAAAACAUGGUCUUUCAACGGGUCCCUCUGAAUCCCUUUCGGUGCCCAUCCAUUCCUACCGUUCGUCUACAUCUGCUAGCACCGCCUGUCCAGAGUCGCCGCGUUGUCCAACCAAGCCAGAGCCCAUAAUGACUUGUGGCUGUGCAGGUAAGCCUUGAGUCUUGAAGUCUCCGUCCGUCCCUUUGAGCCUGGGUGAAGCUUUCCGCAGGAUGACAUGGCCUCUCCAGCAUCCCGGGCAUCCACUGGGUUUUCCAGCGAGCCGGUCAACCGUCCUUCACCCAGUGUUGCAUUGCGUCCGAGGUCUUGAAAAUCUUGUCUUAGUCCGGUCUUGAUUAUUAUAUCAACCUCGCAUCACUCGUGGAAUACACUCAACCGAUAACCCGUCUACUAGAGCAUAGCAUAUAUAACAUUGUCGUCCCGGGGCCAAGUAUCGGGGUGUUGUGUUCCUACCACAUGAAU